GUGACCUUCUGAGCCAUCAUUUAUCUCCUCUGCCCAUCUUGUGUGAAUUCGGGGGGAACACGGAAGCUAGCGGUCGAAUUGUAGCAGUGAUGGGAGUUUUUAAUUGAAAAAAAAAAGUCCUCAUUAGUGAAAUACACUUGGGACCGGUGAAGAGAGGAUGCACUUUAAAUUGAAGAUGACGGUUCUUCCCGCACAAGCACCUCUCUAACGUACCCACAGAAGUUGACAAGUUGGCUGCGCCUGCCAGAAAAUGAGAUCACCGCGGACUCCAAAGAAAAAGUACGCAGUCACUUAACAACUGCAAAAAGAAACAACCUCUUUCAUUAGCGAAGCUGUCUGCGCCAACCUUUUUGGAGGCGGGUGAAGAUCUCAGAUGUGGAUUUCUGCUCACUCGCGAAGGUCUCCUUGACAUUUCACAGCGCUGCACGGCACUGGCUUCUCAUCCUCCGUCCCAGCGCCUUGUCUUAGAGAAGCGAAGCUUGGCCCCUGGUGACAUUUACCAAACUCAUCCAUACAUCCCCGCUUUACCACACCUGAAUGAGCGCAUCAGUGCAGUUCUUACUUGAUCUGAGCACAGCUGAUUCAGUCAGUCAAGAGGAUUACUAUGACAUGGUGACCGAUCAGGUGAGGUGGAUCAAAGGGAGAUGGAGGAUAAGGAGUGAAGGUCUCCCCUGGAUGGGUUUGUUUGUCGAAAAAAAAAAAAUAUAAAUAAACAAAACAGAGAUUCGAUUCAAAGGAUAUAUUUUUUUUGUUAACAAAAUGCUAUAAAUGCUCAUAAUGCAGACUAUAAAAUGACAUCAGAUAUUCGUUCUACACAGAUGUUUACUAGCUGCUUCCUUGGUCAUAAUGCCAAGUAGAUGUCACCCGUCACGGUCAGGCCUAGUUAUUAUGGACAGGCCCAAACCUGCCUCCGAUAAACUGCGUUGUCUUGAGAUUGGCUUGGUGCCGUCUUCCAUUCAUAACUUAAAAAUAAACAAACUGAACACCCUAUCCUCUAAUCUUAGCACACUGGUCCUGCGUGAUGUGGGUGACUUGAAAGUAGGAUCUACCGUGUGUGCACGUGGGUCAGCUUGGUGGGAGACUCAAGACUCACUCACCUCACCUAAAGGCUUUGCCACACUCCCUGCACGGGGCUCUCUACACAGCUAGCUAUGUCUAGCUCAAUCGUUGGUGGUUGGUGGUCAAGUUUUCUUUGGUUGGUGGUUUAUCCAAGUGGACACAAAGAUGGUAAUCCAAACACCAUUAGUUCAAAAUGCCCACAAGAUGGCAACAAAGAGGGGAAACAAUAGGGCCCUGCUCCUGCAUAAGACCUAACCUAUUUGAGAGCCAAGAGAGGGCAGGUGUGCUUUUACCGAUCAGCCACAGGUAGUGACGUCACAGAAGGCCCACCUGUACAUCAGUCCUAUUCCUAACCAUGUGACCUACCUUCUCACAAUGCUGGGAAUCCAAAUCAAUUCCCACUCAGUUUCAACAAACUGAUAUCCAUGAAAUAGCAACCUUUUUUAAUUUCAGAAUUGCCAAAAAUUGUAUUCGAUACUAUAAUACUGAAAUUGCCUUGUUGGCCAAGAUGAUUGAUGCAAGGAGUUGUUUCUUGAGAUCUUUAAUAAUAAAUGCAGGCUGCAAGUCUCCCGUAACUCAUUACUGCAUGUAAGGGUUAAUAAAAGCCCAGGGUUGUAGCUGAUGUAAGAUGUGAAAAGGACACACACAAACCCUCGGCUGUCCUACUUCCACAUG
This is a long non-coding RNA of Clupea harengus (Atlantic herring), 1734 nucleotides long. RefSeq lists it as uncharacterized. Lineage: Eukaryota; Metazoa; Chordata; Actinopteri; Clupeiformes; Clupeidae. The record is from RefSeq and is a predicted model, not a curated record.